RNAcentral lists this ribosomal RNA (2321 nucleotides) under Escherichia coli. RNAcentral's name for it is "bacterial LSU rRNA". It matches the Rfam family "Bacterial large subunit ribosomal RNA", at positions 637 to 2925 of the family's 2925-position model. Lineage: Bacteria; Pseudomonadati; Pseudomonadota; Gammaproteobacteria; Enterobacterales; Enterobacteriaceae. The record is from RNAcentral.
GUAGCAAGGUUAACCGAAUAGGGGAGCCGAAGGGAAACCGAGUCUUAACUGGGCGUUAAGUUGCAGGGUAUAGACCCGAAACCCGGUGAUCUAGCCAUGGGCAGGUUGAAGGUUGGGUAACACUAACUGGAGGACCGAACCGACUAAUGUUGAAAAAUUAGCGGAUGACUUGUGGCUGGGGGUGAAAGGCCAAUCAAACCGGGAGAUAGCUGGUUCUCCCCGAAAGCUAUUUAGGUAGCGCCUCGUGAAUUCAUCUCCGGGGGUAGAGCACUGUUUCGGCAAGGGGGUCAUCCCGACUUACCAACCCGAUGCAAACUGCGAAUACCGGAGAAUGUUAUCACGGGAGACACACGGCGGGUGCUAACGUCCGUCGUGAAGAGGGAAACAACCCAGACCGCCAGCUAAGGUCCCAAAGUCAUGGUUAAGUGGGAAACGAUGUGGGAAGGCCCAGACAGCCAGGAUGUUGGCUUAGAAGCAGCCAUCAUUUAAAGAAAGCGUAAUAGCUCACUGGUCGAGUCGGCCUGCGCGGAAGAUGUAACGGGGCUAAACCAUGCACCGAAGCUGCGGCAGCGACACUAUGUGUUGUUGGGUAGGGGAGCGUUCUGUAAGCCUGUGAAGGUGGCCUGUGAGGGUUGCUGGAGGUAUCAGAAGUGCGAAUGCUGACAUAAGUAACGAUAAAGCGGGUGAAAAGCCCGCUCGCCGGAAGACCAAGGGUUCCUGUCCAACGUUAAUCGGGGCAGGGUGAGUCGACCCCUAAGGCGAGGCCGAAAGGCGUAGUCGAUGGGAAACAGGUUAAUAUUCCUGUACUUGGUGUUACUGCGAAGGGGGGACGGAGAAGGCUAUGUUGGCCGGGCGACGGUUGUCCCGGUUUAAGCGUGUAGGCUGGUUUUCCAGGCAAAUCCGGAAAACCAAGGCUGAGGCGUGAUGACGAGGCACUACGGUGCUGAAGCGACAAAUGCCCUGCUUCCAGGAAAAGCCUCUAAGCAUCAGGUAACAUCAAAUCGUACCCCAAACCGACACAGGUGGUCAGGUAGAGAAUACCAAGGCGCUUGAGAGAACUCGGGUGAAGGAACUAGGCAAAAUGGUGCCGUAACUUCGGGAGAAGGCACGCUGAUAUGUAGGUGAAGCGACUUGCUCGUGGAGCUGAAAUCAGUCGAAGAUACCAGCUGGCUGCAACUGUUUAUUAAAAACACAGCACUGUGCAAACACGAAAGUGGACGUAUACGGUGUGACGCCUGCCCGGUGCCGGAAGGUUAAUUGAUGGGGUUAGCGGCAACGCGAAGCUCUUGAUCGAAGCCCCGGUAAACGGCGGCCGUAACUAUAACGGUCCUAAGGUAGCGAAAUUCCUUGUCGGGUAAGUUCCGACCUGCACGAAUGGCGUAAUGAUGGCCAGGCUGUCUCCACCCGAGACUCAGUGAAAUUGAACUCGCUGUGAAGAUGCAGUGUACCCGCGGCAAGACGGAAAGACCCCGUGAACCUUUACUAUAGCUUGACACUGAACAUUGAGCCUUGAUGUGUAGGAUAGGUGGGAGGCUUUGAAGUGUGGACGCCAGUCUGCAUGGAGCCGACCUUGAAAUACCACCCUUUAAUGUUUGAUGUUCUAACGUUGGCCCGUAAUCCGGGUUGCGGACAGUGUCUGGUGGGUAGUUUGACUGGGGCGGUCUCCUCCUAAAGAGUAACGGAGGAGCACGAAGGUUGGCUAAUCCUGGUCGGACAUCAGGAGGUUAGUGCAAUGGCAUAAGCCAGCUUGACUGCGAGCGUGACGGCGCGAGCAGGUGCGAAAGCAGGUCAUAGUGAUCCGGUGGUUCUGAAUGGAAGGGCCAUCGCUCAACGGAUAAAAGGUACUCCGGGGAUAACAGGCUGAUACCGCCCAAGAGUUCAUAUCGACGGCGGUGUUUGGCACCUCGAUGUCGGCUCAUCACAUCCUGGGGCUGAAGUAGGUCCCAAGGGUAUGGCUGUUCGCCAUUUAAAGUGGUACGCGAGCUGGGUUUAGAACGUCGUGAGACAGUUCGGUCCCUAUCUGCCGUGGGCGCUGGAGAACUGAGGGGGGCUGCUCCUAGUACGAGAGGACCGGAGUGGACGCAUCACUGGUGUUCGGGUUGUCAUGCCAAUGGCACUGCCCGGUAGCUAAAUGCGGAAGAGAUAAGUGCUGAAAGCAUCUAAGCACGAAACUUGCCCCGAGAUGAGUUCUCCCUGACUCCUUGAGAGUCCUGAAGGAACGUUGAAGACGACGACGUUGAUAGGCCGGGUGUGUAAGCGCAGCGAUGCGUUGAGCUAACCGGUACUAAUGAACCGUGAGGCUUAACCUUACAACGCCGAAG